Molecule: ribosomal RNA, 482 nt
Filed under: uncultured bacterium
Lineage: Bacteria
Description: bacterial SSU rRNA
Rfam family: Bacterial small subunit ribosomal RNA
Source: RNAcentral
AAUCAACGCUGGCGGCGUGCCUAACACAUGCAAGUCGAACGCGAACGUUCCGCAAGGGACAAGUAGAGUGGCGCACGGGUGAGUAACACGUGGACAACCUGCCUGGGAGUGGGGAGUAACCUUCCGAAAGGAGGCUAAUACCGCAUAAGACGGGAGGACCUAAGUUCUCCGGUUGAAAGGAGCAAUUCGCUCCCAGAGGGGUCCGCGCCUGAUUAGCUAGUUGGUGAGGUAACGGCUCACCAAGGCUGCGAUCAGUAGCCGUCCUGAGAGGGAGCACGGCCACACUGGAACUGAGACACGGUCCAGACUCCUACGGGAGGCAGCAGUGGGGUAAUUUUGGCAAUGGGCGCAAGCCUGACCAAGCAACGCCGCGUGGGUGAUGAAGUAUCUUGGUAACGUAAAACCCUUUCGGCAGGGACGAAGCAAGUGACGGUACCUGCAGAAGAACGCCCCGGCUAACUCCGCGCCAGCAGCCGCGGUAA